UAGGGUAUUGGCCUAACAUGGCUAUGACGGGUAACGGGGAAUUAGAGUUCGAUUCCGGAGAGGGAGCCUGAGAAAUAGCUACCACAUCUAAGGAAGGCAGCAGGCGCGUAAAUUACCCAAUUCUAAAGAAGAGAGGUAGUGACAAGAAAUAACAAUGCAAGGCCAAUUUUUGGUUUUGUAAUUGGAAUGGUGGGAAUUUAAAACCUUCCCAGAGUAACAAUUGGAGGGCAAGUCUGGUGCCAGCAGCCGCGGUAAUUCCAGCUCCAAUAGCGUAUAUUAAAAUUGUUGCAGUUAAAACGCUCGUAGUUGAAUUUCAAGGAAUCGAUAUUUUAUUGUAACUAUUUUAGGGGUUUUAUUUUUGCUUCUUGCUUAAAUUCUUCCCCUAUUAUUAUGUUCUUUAAAUAACAAAGAUUCUUUUUAAAACCCCUUUUUGCUUUUGCUUUUUGGGGUUUUGUUACUU
Molecule: ribosomal RNA, 460 nt
Filed under: Plasmodium gaboni
Lineage: Eukaryota; Apicomplexa; Aconoidasida; Haemosporida; Plasmodiidae
Description: SSU rRNA
Rfam family: Eukaryotic small subunit ribosomal RNA
Source: RNAcentral